UACGUAGGGGGCAAGCGUUGUCCGGAUUUAUUGGGCGUAAAGAGCGUGUAGGCGGCCAGACAGGUCCGUUGUGAAAACUCGAGGCUCAACCUCGAGACGCCGAUGGAAACCGUCUGGCUAGAGUCCGGAAGAGGAGAGUCGAAUUCCUGGUGUAGCGGUGAAAUGCGCAGAUAUCAGGAAGAACACCCGUGGCUAAGGCGGCUCUCUAGUACGGUACUGACGCUGAGACGCGAAAGCGUGGGGAGCGAACAGG
RNAcentral lists this ribosomal RNA (253 nucleotides) under uncultured bacterium. RNAcentral describes it as "partial 16S ribosomal RNA". It matches the Rfam family "Bacterial small subunit ribosomal RNA", at positions 524 to 776 of the family's 1533-position model. The record is from RNAcentral.